ACACGUGGCCAAACUACCCUACGGACCAGGACAACCUCGGGAAACUGAGGCUAAUCCUGGAUAGGGCUCCCAGUCUGGAGUGGCGGGAGUCCGAAAGGCUCAGGCGCCGUAGGAUGUGGCUGCGGCCGAUUAGGUAGACGGUGGGGUAACGGCCCACCGUGCCCAUAAUCGGUACGGGUCAUGAGAGUGAGAGCCCGGAGACGGGAUCUGAGACAAGAUCCCGGGCCCUACGGGGCGCAGCAGGCGCGAAACCUUUACACUGCACGACAGUGCGAUAGGGGAAUCCCGAGUGCGAGGGCAUACAGUCCUCGCUUUUGCACACCGUAAGGAGGUGUGCGAAUAAGGGCUGGGCAAGACCGGUGCCAGCCGCCGCGGUAAUACCGGCAGCCCGAGUGAUGGCCGAUCUUAUUGGGCCUAAAGCGUCCGUAGCUGGCCGAACAAGUCCGUCGGGAAAUCCACGCGCUUAACGCGUGGGCGACCGGCGGAAACUGUUCGGCUUGGGGCCGGAAGACCAGAGGGGUACGUCCGGGGUAGGAGUGAAAUCCCGUAAUCCUGGACGGACCGCCGGUGGCGAAAGCGCCUCUGGAAGACGGACCCGACAGUGAGGGACGAAAGCUGGGAUCUCGAACCGGAUU
This 635-nucleotide ribosomal RNA is filed under the name uncultured haloarchaeon. RNAcentral describes it as "bacterial SSU rRNA". It matches the Rfam family "Archaeal small subunit ribosomal RNA", at positions 96 to 730 of the family's 1478-position model. Lineage: Archaea; Methanobacteriati; Methanobacteriota; Halobacteria; Halobacteriales; Halobacteriaceae. The record is from RNAcentral.